RNAcentral lists this ribosomal RNA (273 nucleotides) under uncultured bacterium. RNAcentral's name for it is "partial 16S ribosomal RNA". It matches the Rfam family "Bacterial small subunit ribosomal RNA", at positions 524 to 792 of the family's 1533-position model. The record is from RNAcentral.
UACGUAGGGUGCAAGCGUUGUCCGGAAUUAUUGGGCGUAAAGAGCUCGUAGGCGGUUUGUUGCGUCGGCUGUGAAAACCUGCGGCUUAACUGUGGGCUUGCAGUCGAUACGGGCAGACUUGAGUUCGGGCAGGGGAGACUGGAAUUCCUGGUGUAGCGGUGAAAUGCGCAGAUAUCGGGAGGAACACCAGUGGCGAAGGCGGCUACCUGGACCAGCACUGACACUGAGGCACGAAAGCGUGGGGAGCAAACAGGGAUUAGAAACCCCGAUGUA